AGUGGGGAAUUUUGGACAAUGGGGGAAACCCUGAUCCAGCCAUGCCGCGUGAGUGAAGAAGGCCUUCGGGUUGUAAAGCUCUUUUGGCCGGGAAGAAAGGGUUCGGGCGAAUAGUCUGGAUUUUUGACGGUACCGGCAGAAUAAGCACCGGCUAACUACGUGCCAGCAGCCGCGGUAAUACGUAGGGUGCGAGCGUUAAUCGGAAUUACUGGGCGUAAAGCGUGCGUAGGCGGUUCGUUAUGUCUGCUGUGAAAGCCCCGGGCUCAACCUGGGAAUGGCAGUGGAAACUGGCGGGCUUGAGUGUGGCAGAGGGGGGUGGAAUUCCGCGUGUAGCAGUGAAAUGCGUAGAGAUGCGGAGGAACACCGAUGGCGAAGGCAGCCCCCUGGGCUGACACUGACGCUGAGGCACGAAAGCGUGGGGAGCAAA
RNAcentral lists this ribosomal RNA (427 nucleotides) under uncultured beta proteobacterium. RNAcentral's name for it is "bacterial SSU rRNA". It matches the Rfam family "Bacterial small subunit ribosomal RNA", at positions 353 to 772 of the family's 1533-position model. Lineage: Bacteria; Pseudomonadati; Pseudomonadota; Betaproteobacteria. The record is from RNAcentral.